GGAAAGGAAGGAUAAUGUCCAGGAGUUGGAAUGUUAUCCUUGUUUUUAAUUAAGAUGCAAUUCACAUAAAUUAACUUUUUAAGUGAACAAUUAAGUGGUAGUACAUCCACAAUGGUGUACAACCACCACUUCUAUCUAGCUCCAAAACAUUCUCAUCACUCCAAAAGUAAAGUCCCGUUACUCUCCAUUUUCUCCUCCCACCGCCCUUGUCCCUGGCAACCACCAAUCUGCUUCCUGUUUCUUUGGAUUUACAUCCGG
Molecule: long non-coding RNA, 258 nt
Filed under: Homo sapiens (human)
Lineage: Eukaryota; Metazoa; Chordata; Mammalia; Primates; Hominidae
Description: LHRI_LNC586.1
Source: RNAcentral